This 173-nucleotide antisense RNA is filed under the name Helicobacter pylori. RNAcentral's name for it is "Bacterial antisense RNA HPnc0260". It matches the Rfam family "Bacterial antisense RNA HPnc0260". Lineage: Bacteria; Pseudomonadati; Campylobacterota; Epsilonproteobacteria; Campylobacterales; Helicobacteraceae. The record is from RNAcentral.
GUGUUAUAGUUUUGAAGCGCUAUCAAGGCGUUAUUGGGAGCGCGUUUAAUACCCCUUUGAGAAUUUAUAAAAAUCAAAAACUCGCAAAAAAAUGAGAACUAGAAUUGGAGUCAUAAUGAGUAAUUGAGUAAUAAUGGUGGCCACGACUGGACUUGAACCAGCGGCCACUACCA